CCUACGGGAGGCAGCAGUGGGGAAUAUUGGACAAUGGGCGAAAGCCUGAUCCAGCAAUGCCGCGUGAGUGAUGAAGGCCUUAGGGUUGUAAAGCUCUUUUACCAGGGAUGAUAAUGACAGUACCUGGAGAAUAAGCUCCGGCUAACUCCGUGCCAGCAGCCGCGGUAAUACGGAGGGAGCUAGCGUUGUUCGGAAUUACUGGGCGUAAAGCGUACGUAGGCGGUUAUUCAAGUCAGAGGUGAAAGCCUGGAGCUCAACUCCAGAACUGCCUUUGAAACUAGAUAGCUAGAAUCUUGGAGAGGUGAGUGGAAUUCCGAGUGUAGAGGUGAAAUUCGUAGAUAUUCGGAAGAACACCAGUGGCGAAGGCGACUCACUGGACAAGUAUUGACGCUGAGGUACGAAAGCGUGGGGAGCAAACAGGAUUAGAUACCCUGGUAGUCCACGCCGUAAACGAUGAUAACUAGCUGUUCGGGCUCUACGAGCUUGAGUGGCGCNGCUACGACAUUAAGUUAUCCGUCCGUCGGGUAGGUACGGUCGCGAGAAUUAAACUAACGAAACGGAAGUUAGUACGGCGUGAGACGUGCCGACGGACGACGACGAGGGAGGUUAGG
RNAcentral lists this ribosomal RNA (611 nucleotides) under uncultured bacterium. RNAcentral describes it as "bacterial SSU rRNA". The stretch from base 1 to 518 matches the Rfam family "Bacterial small subunit ribosomal RNA", at positions 338 to 873 of the family's 1533-position model. The record is from RNAcentral.